GGAUGCGGUCAUACCAGCACUAAAGCACCGGAUCCCAUCAGAACUCUGUAGUUAAGCGUGCUUGGGCGAGAGUAGUACUAGGAUGGGUGACCUCCUGGGAAGUCCUCGUGUUGCAUUCC
RNAcentral lists this ribosomal RNA (119 nucleotides) under Triticum aestivum (bread wheat). Lineage: Eukaryota; Viridiplantae; Streptophyta; Magnoliopsida; Poales; Poaceae. The record is from RNAcentral.